This 230-nucleotide long non-coding RNA is filed under the name Physcomitrium patens. RNAcentral describes it as "long non-coding RNA (PPAT_LNC011031)". Lineage: Eukaryota; Viridiplantae; Streptophyta; Bryopsida; Funariales; Funariaceae. The record is from RNAcentral.
CCUUCUUCUUUACUUGGACUCUCUCUUCUUAGAUGUAGCAAGUCAUUCUUUGGAGAUUUUUUCAAAGUAUUUUUACUAUUUUAUUUGGAAAUUUUGAGAAGUAGUUAUUUUUUUUGUUAACUUUUCAAAAAGCUCUCAUUCACUCUAAGAAGAAUUAGUAUGUAGAUGGAUUGAGUUUUUGAAAAAUGAUGAGUCAAUUGACUCAUGUUAAUAUGAUUAUUAGCUUUGUU